UCCCAGGACGGGUGAAGGCCAGCCAGUAACUGAAGAUCUCAGGCCCUGAAGCAUUAUUUCAACUGAAGAAGAGCAUUUCCUAAUCACCAUACCCAAGUGCUGCAAAGCCAUCUCAUUUCCCAUCUAGUGAAGUCUUAUAACAGUUGCCAAGAACCUAUCCAUUGUCCUUCAUCCUCAGACUACAUUUUCUAGUUGGUGAGGUCCACCUCAGGCCUUUGUCUGACCUCACGUGGGGCUUAAAUAUAAACCAGGGAAGAUUAUUAUCACCCUGCAAAAUAAAAUCUGUGCAUGGGACCCUUGGGUUGCAUAUCUUCCAGAGUAUAUCAUCACACAAGUCCAUUCUUAUUUCUGUUCUGAUACUAUCAGUGUUCACUCCCACAUGGAUGGAUGGAAAAGGACUGCAGUCAUUAACAAGAGUUCUUUUCCACUGGGAGUACAAUGAAGAAAGAACAAUAAGGGAACUGAAAUGUCAUGGGUCAUUAUAAGAGAGUGCAGUUAAGAAGCAACUAAGCACUGCAGAAUGGGUUUUCUCUGUGACUUUGGAAGUUGUCCUGGAACUAGCUC
Long non-coding RNA from Mesocricetus auratus (golden hamster), 564 nucleotides. RefSeq lists it as uncharacterized. The transcript is spliced from 3 exons. The record is from RefSeq and is a predicted model, not a curated record. NCBI's taxonomy places the organism in Eukaryota, Metazoa, Chordata, Mammalia, Rodentia, Cricetidae.